GCAUUAAUGGGGUAGUGGUAACCUGGGUCGUUGCCAUGGGUGAUUAACCAUUGUACUCGACCCGCCGGGGGUUCGAUUCCCCCUUAAUGCA
Non-coding RNA from Lentinula raphanica, 91 nucleotides. The record is from the annotation of a GenBank genome assembly. NCBI's taxonomy places the organism in Eukaryota, Fungi, Basidiomycota, Agaricomycetes, Agaricales, Omphalotaceae.